RNAcentral lists this ribosomal RNA (301 nucleotides) under uncultured bacterium. RNAcentral describes it as "partial 16S ribosomal RNA". It matches the Rfam family "Bacterial small subunit ribosomal RNA", at positions 509 to 807 of the family's 1533-position model. The record is from RNAcentral.
CAGCAGCCACGGGAAUACAGAGGGUGCAAGCGUUAAUCGGAAUUACUGGGCGUAAAGCGCGCGUAGGUGGUUUGUUAAGUUGGAUGUGAAAUCCCCGGGCUCAACCUGGGAACUGCAUCCAAAACUGGCGAGCUAGAGUAUGGUAGAGGGUGGUGGAAUUUCCUGUGUAGCGGUGAAAUGCGUAGAUAUAGGAAGGAACAUCAGUGGCGAAGGCGACCACCUGGACUGAUACUGACACUGAGGUGCGAAAGCGUGGGGAGCAAACAGGAUUAGAUACCCCAGUAGUCCCUGUCUCUUAUAC